UUUUGUUUAUUUUCUUUGGUUACAUCUUCUGACAUCAGACUCGGGCUUCUCUUGAACUGAAUUUUAAUGUGCGUAUUGUUAUGCGUUUACUUUUCUACAUUGGUUAGAGGUAUAGGGGGAGGGUUGAGAUCUCACAAACAUGUUUAACCCCGCCGCAUUUUUGCGCCUGUCCCAAGUCAGGAGCCUCUGGCCUUUGUUAGUCUUGUAUUAUUUUAAUUUUAGUUUCUUG
RNAcentral lists this long non-coding RNA (229 nucleotides) under Mytilus galloprovincialis (Mediterranean mussel). Lineage: Eukaryota; Metazoa; Mollusca; Bivalvia; Mytilida; Mytilidae. The record is from RNAcentral.